This 73-nucleotide transfer RNA is filed under the name Ceramaster japonicus. RNAcentral's name for it is "tRNA-Leu". It matches the Rfam family "tRNA". From Rfam's summary of the family: Transfer RNA (tRNA) molecules are approximately 80 nucleotides in length. Lineage: Eukaryota; Metazoa; Echinodermata; Asteroidea; Valvatida; Goniasteridae. The record is from RNAcentral.
GCUGGAAUAGCAAAGUGGUUAAUGUGAUAGAUUUAGGAUUUAUUAAUCAAAGGUUCAAAUCCUUUUUCUAGUU